This is a small nuclear RNA of Molossus molossus (Pallas's mastiff bat), 107 nucleotides long. The record is from RefSeq and is a predicted model, not a curated record. NCBI's taxonomy places the organism in Eukaryota, Metazoa, Chordata, Mammalia, Chiroptera, Molossidae.
GUGCUCACUUCAGUAGCACAUAUACUAAAAUUGGAAUGAUAUAGAGAACAUUAGCAUGGCUCCUGCACAAGAAUGACAUGCAAAUUCGUGAGGUGCUUCAUUUAAAA